UUAGGUAGCGCCUCGUGAAUUCAUCUUCGGGGGUAGAGCACUGUUUCGGCUAGGGGGUCAUCCCGACUUACCAACCCGAUGCAAACUACGAAUACCGAAGAAUGUUAUCACGGGAGACACACGGCGGGUGCUAACGUCCGUCGUGAAGAGGGAAACAACCCAGACCGCCAGCUAAGGUCCCAAAGUCAUGGUUAAGUGGGAAACGAUGUGGGAAGGCACAGACAGCCAGGAUGUUGGCUUAGAAGCAGCCAUCAUUUAAAGAAAGCGUAAUAGCUCACUGGUCGAGUCGGCCUGCGCGGAAGAUGUAACGGGGCUAAACCAUGCACCGAAGCUGCGGCAGCGACACUAUGUGUUGUUGGGUAGGGGAGCGUUCUGUAAGCCUGCGAAGGUGUGCUGUGAGGCAUGCUGGAGGUAUCAGAAGUGCGAAUGCUGACAUAAGUAACGAUAAAGCGGGUGAAAAGCCCGCUCGCCGGAAGACCAAGGGUUCCUGUCCAACGUUAAUCGGGGCAGGGUGAGUCGACCCCUAAGGCGAGGCCGAAAGGCGUAGUCGAUGGGAAACAGGUUAAUAUUCCUGUACUUGGUGUUACUGCGAAGGGGGGACGGAGAAGGCUAUGUUAGCCGGGC
Molecule: ribosomal RNA, 624 nt
Filed under: Pseudomonas aeruginosa
Lineage: Bacteria; Pseudomonadati; Pseudomonadota; Gammaproteobacteria; Pseudomonadales; Pseudomonadaceae
Description: partial 23S ribosomal RNA
Rfam family: Bacterial large subunit ribosomal RNA
Source: RNAcentral